GACGAACGUUGGCGGCGUGCUUAAUACAUGCAAGUCAACUGAAGCAGAGGUAGUAAUAUCUCUGUGGAGGUGGCGCACGGGUGAGUAACACGUAGGUAAUCUGCCUUCAGGUCUGACAUAACCCCGAGAAAUCGGGGCUAAUAGCAGAUGAUGCAGCGGCUUGACAUCAAGACAGUUGUUAAAGCUUCGGCGCCUGAAGAUGAGCCUGCGCUGAUUAGCUAGUUGGCGGAGUAACAGCCCACCAAGGCUACGAUCAGUAGCUGGUCUGAGAGGAUGAUCAGCCACACUGGAACUGAGACACGGUCCAGACUCCUACGGGAGGCAGCAGUAAGGAAUAUUNCUCAAUGGGAGAAAUCCUGAAGCAGCAACGCCGCGUGAGGGAUGAAGGGUC
This 391-nucleotide ribosomal RNA is filed under the name uncultured bacterium. RNAcentral's name for it is "bacterial SSU rRNA". It matches the Rfam family "Bacterial small subunit ribosomal RNA", at positions 28 to 417 of the family's 1533-position model. The record is from RNAcentral.